UGCGGUUCUCGCCCGCGAAGGCGCGGCGCGAUGCUGGGAGCGUCGCGCAGCCGUUCGACGCCGCGGGACCGCAGC
RNAcentral lists this transfer RNA (75 nucleotides) under Pseudoclavibacter endophyticus. RNAcentral's name for it is "tRNA-Pro". The record is from RNAcentral. Lineage: Bacteria; Bacillati; Actinomycetota; Actinomycetes; Micrococcales; Microbacteriaceae.